RNAcentral lists this ribosomal RNA (253 nucleotides) under uncultured bacterium. Its description in RNAcentral is "partial 16S ribosomal RNA". It matches the Rfam family "Bacterial small subunit ribosomal RNA", at positions 524 to 776 of the family's 1533-position model. The record is from RNAcentral.
UACGAAGGGGGCUAGCGUUGCUCGGAAUGACUGGGCGUAAAGGGCGCGUAGGCGGAUGGCACAGUCAGAUGUGAAAUUCCCGGGCUUAACCUGGGGGCUGCAUUUGAUACGUGUUGUCUAGAGUGAGGAAGAGGGUCGUGGAAUUCCCAGUGUAGAGGUGAAAUUCGUAGAUAUUGGGAAGAACACCGGUGGCGAAGGCGGCCUUCUGGACAGUGACUGACGCUGAGACGCGAAAGCGUGGGGAGCAAACAGG